GGGAACGUAGGCUAAUUGGCAGGCUAUCGGUCUUUCAAACCGAUGGGUGCGGGAUCGUACCCCGCCGUUCCUA
Molecule: transfer RNA, 73 nt
Filed under: Rhodocyclaceae bacterium
Lineage: Bacteria; Pseudomonadati; Pseudomonadota; Betaproteobacteria; Rhodocyclales; Rhodocyclaceae
Description: tRNA-Glu
Rfam family: tRNA
About the family: Transfer RNA (tRNA) molecules are approximately 80 nucleotides in length. Their secondary structure includes four short double-helical elements and three loops (D, anti-codon, and T loops). Further hydrogen bonds mediate the characteristic L-shaped molecular structure. tRNAs have two regions of fundamental functional importance: the anti-codon, which is responsible for specific mRNA codon recognition, and the 3' end, to which the tRNAs corresponding amino acid is attached (by aminoacyl-tRNA synthetases). tRNAs cope with the degeneracy of the genetic code in two manners: having more than one tRNA (with a specific anti-codon) for a particular amino acid; and 'wobble' base-pairing, i.e. permitting non-standard base-pairing at the 3rd anti-codon position.
Source: RNAcentral